RNAcentral lists this ribosomal RNA (856 nucleotides) under Escherichia coli. Its description in RNAcentral is "bacterial LSU rRNA". It matches the Rfam family "Bacterial large subunit ribosomal RNA", at positions 141 to 1036 of the family's 2925-position model. The record is from RNAcentral. Lineage: Bacteria; Pseudomonadati; Pseudomonadota; Gammaproteobacteria; Enterobacterales; Enterobacteriaceae.
CGUCACACUAUCAUUAACUGAAUCCAUAGGUUAAUGAGGCGAACCGGGGGAACUGAAACAUCUAAGUACCCCGAGGAAAAGAAAUCAACCGAGAUUCCCCCAGUAGCGGCGAGCGAACGGGGAGGAGCCCAGAGCCUGAAUCAGUAUGUGUGUUAGUGGAAGCGUCUGGAAAGGCGUGCGAUACAGGGUGACAGCCCCGUACACAAAAAUGCACAUGCUGUGAGCUCGAUGAGUAGGGCGGGACACGUGGUAUCCUGUCUGAAUAUGGGGGGACCAUCCUCCAAGGCUAAAUACUCCUGACUGACCGAUAGUGAACCAGUACCGUGAGGGAAAGGCGAAAAGAACCCCGGCGAGGGGAGUGAAAAAGAACCUGAAACCGUGUACGUACAAGCAGUGGGAGCCUCUUUAAUGGGGUGACUGCGUACCUUUUGUAUAAUGGGUCAGCGACUUAUAUUCUGUAGCAAGGUUAACCGAAUAGGGGAGCCGAAGGGAAACCGAGUCUUAACUGGGCGUUAAGUUGCAGGGUAUAGACCCGAAACCCGGUGAUCUAGCCAUGGGCAGGUUGAAGGUUGGGUAACACUAACUGGAGGACCGAACCGACUAAUGUUGAAAAAUUAGCGGAUGACUUGUGGCUGGGGGUGAAAGGCCAAUCAAACCGGGAGAUAGCUGGUUCUCCCCGAAAGCUAUUUAGGUAGCGCCUCGUGAAUUCAUCUCCGGGGGUAGAGCACUGUUUCGGCAAGGGGGUCAUCCCGACUUACCAACCCGAUGCAAACUGCGAAUACCGGAGAAUGUUAUCACGGGAGACACACGGCGGGUGCUAACGUCCGUCGUGAAGAGGGAAACAACCCAGACCGCC